CACAUCGAAUGUUUAGAUACUAAUUAGGAGUAUUAAACAUAGACUAUUUAUAAAACCCAUUGCACAUAUGGAGGCUAAACAGAGAGACGAAUCUAUUAAGUCUAAUUAGUCCAUGAUUUGAUAAUGUGCUGCUACAGUAACCAUUUGCUAAUGAUGGAUUAAUUAGGCUUAAUAGAUUUGUCUGACCAUUUAGCCUCCAUCUGUGUAAUUAAUUUUAUAAUUAACUCAUAUUUAAUCCUCCUAAUUAGCCUCCGAAUAUUUGAU
Molecule: long non-coding RNA, 264 nt
Filed under: Setaria viridis
Lineage: Eukaryota; Viridiplantae; Streptophyta; Magnoliopsida; Poales; Poaceae
Description: long non-coding RNA (SVIR_LNC008044)
Source: RNAcentral